This 503-nucleotide ribosomal RNA is filed under the name uncultured bacterium. RNAcentral's name for it is "partial 16S ribosomal RNA". It matches the Rfam family "Bacterial small subunit ribosomal RNA", at positions 28 to 523 of the family's 1533-position model. The record is from RNAcentral.
GAUGAACGCUAGCGAUAGGCCUAACACAUGCAAGUCGAGGGGCAUCACGGAGUAGCAAUACUUUGGUGGCGACCGGCGCACGGGUGAGUAACGCGUAUGCAAUCUACCUACAACAGGGGGAUAACCCGGAGAAAUCCGGACUAAUACCGCAUAACACAGGGGUCCCGCAUGGGAAUAUUUGUUAAAGAUUUAUCGGUUGUAGAUGAGCAUGCGUUCCAUUAGGUAGUUGGUGAGGUAACGGCCCACCAAGCCUGCGAUGGAUAGGGGAACUGAGAGGUUUGUCCACCACACUUGAACUGAGACACGGACCAGAGUCCUGCGGGAGGCAGCAGUGAGGAAUGUUGGUCAAUGGGCGAGAGCCUGAACCAGCCAAAUCGCGUGAAGGAAGACUGACUUAUGGGUUGUAAACUUCUUUUGUACAGGAAUAAAAAGAGGGACGUGUCCUUCAUAGCAUGUACUGUACGAAUAAGCAUCGGCUAACUCCGUGCCAGCCGCCGCAGUAA